AUACGUAGGGUGCAAGCGUUAAUCGGAAUUACUGGGCGUAAAGCGUGCGCAGGCGGUUUUGUAAGACAGAGGUGAAAUCCCCGGGCUCAACCUGGGAACUGCCUUUGUGGCUGCAAGGCCUGAGUACGGCAGAGGGGGAUGGAAGUCCGCGUGUUGCAGUGGAAUGCGUAGAUAUGCGGAGGAACACCGAUGGCGAAGGCAAUCCCCUGGGCCUGUACUGACGCUCAUGCACGAAAGCGUGGGGAGCAAACAGGAUUAGAUACCCUGGUAGUCCACGCCCUAAACGAUGUCAACUGGUUGUUGGGUCUUCAUUGACUCAGUAACGAAGCUAACGCGUGAAGUUGACCGCCUGGGGAGUACGGCCGCAAGGUUGAAACUCAAAUGAAUUGACGGGG
This 395-nucleotide ribosomal RNA is filed under the name uncultured bacterium. RNAcentral describes it as "partial 16S ribosomal RNA". It matches the Rfam family "Bacterial small subunit ribosomal RNA", at positions 523 to 918 of the family's 1533-position model. The record is from RNAcentral.